UGAGGAAUAUUGGUCAAUGGAGGCAACUCUGAACCAGCCAAGUAGCGUGAGGGAUGACUGCCCUACGGGUUGUAAACCUCUUUUGUCGGGGAAUAAACCGCGCCACGUGUGGCGCCCUGCAUGUACCCGCAGAAUAAGGACCGGCUAAUUCCGUGCCAGCAGCCGCGGUAAUACGGAAGGUCCGAGCGUUAUCCGGAUUUAUUGGGUUUAAAGGGAGCGUAGGCGGGCUGUUAAGCCAGCCGUCAAAUUGCGGGGCUCAACCCCGUACCGCGGUUGGAACUGGCGGCCUUGAGUCGGCAAGAGGCGCGUGGAAUUCGUGGUGUAGCGGUGAAAUGCAUAGAUAUCACGAGGAACUCCGAUUGCGAAGGCAGCGCGCUGGGGCCGUACUGACGCUGAUGCUCGAAGGCGCGGGUAUCAAACAGG
RNAcentral lists this ribosomal RNA (423 nucleotides) under uncultured prokaryote. RNAcentral describes it as "bacterial SSU rRNA". It matches the Rfam family "Bacterial small subunit ribosomal RNA", at positions 355 to 776 of the family's 1533-position model. The record is from RNAcentral. RNAcentral also lists the same sequence under 1 other name.